UCAACUUGUUGCAAAGUUCAUUUCUUGUCCCUCAAAAACAAUUCGUAUUUUUUUCAUUCCCCAACUUUCAAAACCGGACACUUUUAGUCCUUAAGGCUAUCCGAAGUGGUUUAUCUAACCACGUGUCCGGUUUGAACUUAAUCCCAUGACCGCCGAGGCUAGUUGUCGUGUUCCGGAUCUCGUCCAGACACUAGUUGUACUUCUCCUCCAUCUGCAUCAUCCAUAUCUUGAUUGAAAAAAAAAUAAGUGAAAAAACUAUGCAAAAACCAGACACGUGGCUAGAAAAACCACUUUGGAUGGACUGAGGGACUAAAAGUGUCCGGUUUUGAAAAUUGAGGGACGAAAAAAUUACGAAAUUUUUUUGAGGGACGAAAAGCGAACUUUCCGAAAAGUCGAGAGACGAAAAAAUUACUUUUCUCCAUUUUAAAAGGCGACAAUCAGCGUAUGUACACUACAAUAUAAACUACAUCCUGGGAUGUGCUGUGAAUAUUCCCAUAGAUCCAUAGUAAAUUCUGAAUGAACUAUCAUGUCAUGUGUACCCAUUAGCAAAAUGCUGGCGGCCCAUGAACUCACUCAGCUAACUAUGUAAAGAACAACUCAAGCGCAC
RNAcentral lists this long non-coding RNA (607 nucleotides) under Brachypodium distachyon (stiff brome). Its description in RNAcentral is "long non-coding RNA (BDIS_LNC002739)". Lineage: Eukaryota; Viridiplantae; Streptophyta; Magnoliopsida; Poales; Poaceae. The record is from RNAcentral.